UGAGUACGAGAUGCUACGGCAUCGAAGCAGUCUAUGUCAUACUUCCAAGAAAAGCUUGCAAUGUCAUAAACAAAUAAUGCCUGUACCAUAACCGACACAGGUGGGUAGGUAGAGUAUACUAAGGGGCGCGAGAUAACUCUCUCUAAGGAACUCGGCAAAAUGACUCCGUAACUUCGGGAGAAGGAGUGCCUUAUUUUUAUAAGGUUGCAAUAACAAGAUCCAAGCAACUGUUUACCAAAAACACAGGUCUCCGCUAAGUCGUAAGACGAUGUAUGGGGGCUGACGCCUGCCCAGUGCCAGAAGGUUAAAGAAGUUGGUUAGCAUUAGCGAAGCUGAUAACUGAAGCCCUGGUGAACGGCGGCCGUAACAAUAACGAUCCUAAGGUAGCGAAAUUCCUUGUCGGGUAAGUUCCGACCCGCACGAAAGGCGUAAUGAUUUGGAUACUGUCUCGGAGAGGGGCUCGGUGAAAUAGACUUGUCUGUGAAGAUGCGGACUACCUGCACCUGGACAGAAAGACCCUAUGAAGCUUUACUGUAACUUGAGAUUGAAAUUGGACUUUAUCUGCGCAGUAUAGGUGGGAGACGUUGAAAAUAUUCUUGCGGGAAUAUUGGAGUCAUCAGUGAGAUACCACUCUUAUAAUGUUAGAUUUCUAACUUUGUAUCAUUAUCUGGUCAAAGAACAGUUUCAGGCGGGCAGUUUGACUGGGGCGGUCGCCUCCCAAACGGUAACGGAGGCGCACAAAGGUUUCCUCUGAACGUGUAGAAAUCGUAUCUAGAGUGUAAAGGCAUAAGGAAGCUUGACUGUGAGACCUACAAGUCGAGCAGGGACGAAAGUCGGUCUUAGUGAUCUGACGGUGCUGAGUGGAAAGGCCGUCACUCAACGGAUAAAAGUUACUCUAGGAUAACAGGCUGAUCUCCCCCAAGAGUUCACAUCGACGGGGAGGUUUGGCACCUUGAUGUCGGCUCAUCGCAUCCUGGGGCGGUAGUACUUCCCAAGGGUUGGGCUGUUCGCCCAUGAAAGCGGUACGCGAGCUGGGUUCAGAACGUCGUGAGACAGUUCGGUCCAUAUCCGGUGUAGGCGUUAGAAUAUUGAGAGGAGCCUUCUUUAGUACGAGAGGACCGAGAAGGACAUACCUCUGGUGUACCAGUUAUCGUGCCAACGGUAAACGCUGGGUAGCCAUGUAUGGAGAGGAUAACCGCUGAAAGCAUCUAAGUGGGAAGCCCACCUCAAGAUAAGUAUUCUCAUC
This 1246-nucleotide ribosomal RNA is filed under the name metagenome. RNAcentral describes it as "bacterial LSU rRNA". It matches the Rfam family "Bacterial large subunit ribosomal RNA", at positions 1564 to 2818 of the family's 2925-position model. The record is from RNAcentral.